CGUAACAUGAGAUAGGGAGAUGCAGUCGUUGCAUUUGAGACUCGUCAAGGUCUCUCUUGCGGCCAUGACCACCAAGAAGAGAAAAAGAUCCUCGAAACUGAUCCCACCCACUCCCUCAACGCCCCCAACUCCCCAAACCCAGGCCCGCCACUCUCUCAACACCGCAAAAGCCCGGGCCUGGGCCCCUCUCAACUUGACCCAGGCCGAACUCUCUCUGCCACUCACCUUCCCCACGGGCCAAACCUUCCGCUGGAAAAACACCGCCCCUCUAGAAUACACCGGCGUCGUCGGGUCCCACCUCAUAACCCUCAAACACCUCCAAAACGGCGACGUUUGCUACUGCCUCCACUCCCACUCUCACCCCGAAAAAGCCAAAACCGCCUUGCUAGAUUUCCUUAACGCCGCCGUUUCUCUCGCCGGCUUAUGGAAGGCGUUUUCCGCUUCCGAUGCGAGGUUCGCGGCGCUAGCGCGCCACUUGAGCGGUGCGAGAGUGCUCCGGCAAGAUCCUUUCGAGUGUUUGAUUCAGUUUCUGUGCUCUUCCAAUAACAACAUUGCACGAAUCACGAAGAUGGUUGACCACGUGUCGUCCCUGGGAGAGCACGUGGGAGACGUUGGAGGGUUUCAGUUCCACGUUUUCCCUUCUUUGGAGCAAUUUUCCUCUGUCUCAGAGCAACAACUCAGAGACGCGGGUUUCGGUUACAGGGCUAAAUAUAUAAUUGGAACGGUUAAUGCUUUGCGAUCAAAACCUGGUGGAGGGGAAGAGUGGCUUCGUUCUCUUCGAAAGUUGGAUCUUCCAGAUGUUAUAUCUGCACUUUCUACGUUACCCGGUGUUGGCCCUAAAGUGGCUGCUUGCAUUGCUCUCUUCUCGCUUGAUCAACACCAUGCCGUUCCUGUUGACACUCACGUUUGGCGGAUUGCCACCAAGUAUCUCUUACCUGAGCUUGCAGGUUCGCAGUUGACACCAAAACUCUGUAAUCGUGUUGCAGAGGCAUUUGUUACCAAGUAUGGUACAUAUGCUGGGUGGGCGCAGACUCUAUUGUUCAUAGCCGAAUUACCUUCACAGAAGGCCAUCAUACCUUCACAUUUGUGGACUAUCAAACAACGGAAUCCUGCAAAGGUAGAAGAUGGCGAAGAAGAAGUUGAGUGAGAUCUACAAAUGGUGUGACUCUGAGGACAUAAAUGCACCAGACUUAGGUGUGACAUGCUGCUGUCAAGAAUUCAUUAGGUAUUGUUUUGGAAAGCUGUCUUAGUUGUGGUCAAUCCGAGCCCGGCUCAGUCGUGGUCUCUUUUGAGAGUUGCCUUAAUGGCAACCUCAAGAGUGAUGGUUUACUUUCUCCUCAAAUGAAGAUAUUACUUGAAUAAAGCUUGGAACAUCCUCAACUUUUACAUAUGUCUGUUUGUGGGAUUGAAUUAUGUUACAAAACCAAUUUCCAUGGUUCAUAAAAAUAUUUUGUAUCUUUUACUCUUAUUUUAAAAUAAUUACAUUACUAUGUGUUAUAAUCAUUGAGGGAGGAGCUUCAUUGAAAUCAGUAUCCGGCGUGUUUUGUGACAUCAUUUAGGGAAAUAAGAA
Molecule: RNA transcript, 1570 nt
Organism: Vigna unguiculata (cowpea)
Lineage: Eukaryota; Viridiplantae; Streptophyta; Magnoliopsida; Fabales; Fabaceae
Gene: OGG1
Gene name: 8-oxoguanine-DNA glycosylase 1
Source: RefSeq, a predicted model, not a curated record